CUUGAGGAUCAAAGCGAAAGUAAAAUGCAUCGGCCUAAGCUGUCAUUUUAUGAACACAGAAACAUCUUAACACUUAGUUUUCUUAAUUUAGAUUUUCUGGAUGCAACAUCAUUUAGAUGAAAUAUGACGGCUGUCCAUACAUUUCUACGCAGUUCAGUCCAAAUGCAAAUAUGAAAGUCAUCUGAAGUUGUGUGUCAUUGAGGAGUGACCGGUCAAUGGAUCCUUCACAUAACUUCAGUGGACAAACUGAUCUUAGAUUUAGUGCACAGACCGAACCUGCCUGAACCCAGCUGUGUGUCCAUGAAGAGAGACUGGUCAAUGGAUCCUCCACGUAACUUUAAUGAACACACUGAUCUUGGAUUUAGUUUGGUCCAGAUGCAAAGACCAAAGUUAUCUAAUCCCAGCUGUGUGCCCAUGAGGAGUGUCUGGUCAGUGGAUCCACCACAUAACUUAAGUGGACACAAAGAUCCUAUGUUUAGGUAAGCAUACACUAAACCAUUUAUCUUAUGACAU
Sinocyclocheilus anshuiensis is the source of this 513-nucleotide long non-coding RNA. Lineage: Eukaryota; Metazoa; Chordata; Actinopteri; Cypriniformes; Cyprinidae. The record is from Ensembl.